AUUUUCAGGAAUAAUGUGAAGCUGCAGCUAUUCUGACUACGCUAGCUAACGCUGCCAUUGAGGAAGGGGAAAACAUUACAAGGCGAUGUCCUAGCUCCUUACCUUGGUGUUGAAGUGCUUACUGAUGCUGCGGAGGAUGUCUGAGUCGAUGCGGGACAGGAUCUGGUCCUCUGGGGCGUGGAGCGCUACGUAACCGUAACACAGGAUCAGCGUGCUCUUCAUCUUCUCUACAUCCAAGUCAUUCUUGUCCUGAGGAGGAGGAGGUAGCUGAGGAGAGCAGGGAUCUCCUUCUCCCAGAGUGUCUCAGCGUUGGGGUGGAUAUUAGGACUUAUAACGUUCAGUAGAGACAG
Non-coding RNA from Salmo salar (Atlantic salmon), 350 nucleotides. The record is from RefSeq and is a predicted model, not a curated record. Lineage: Eukaryota; Metazoa; Chordata; Actinopteri; Salmoniformes; Salmonidae.